GGGGUUGUGGCUCAGCAGUAGAGCACUCGCCUAGCAAGUGUGAGGCCCUGGGUUUGAGUCUCAGCACCA
Molecule: transfer RNA, 69 nt
Filed under: Urocitellus parryii (Arctic ground squirrel)
Lineage: Eukaryota; Metazoa; Chordata; Mammalia; Rodentia; Sciuridae
Also listed under: 1 other name
Description: Spermophilus parryii (Arctic ground squirrel) tRNA
Rfam family: tRNA
About the family: Transfer RNA (tRNA) molecules are approximately 80 nucleotides in length.
Source: Rfam by way of RNAcentral